RNAcentral lists this ribosomal RNA (492 nucleotides) under uncultured bacterium. RNAcentral's name for it is "partial 16S ribosomal RNA". It matches the Rfam family "Bacterial small subunit ribosomal RNA", at positions 29 to 507 of the family's 1533-position model. The record is from RNAcentral.
AGUGAACGCUGGCGGUAGGCCUAACACAUGCAAGUCGAACGGCAGCACAGUAAGAGCUUGCUCUUACGGGUGGCGAGUGGCGGACGGGUGAGGAAUACAUCGGAAUCUACUUUUUCGUGGGGGAUAACGUAGGGAAACUUACGCUAAUACCGCAUACGACCUACGGGUGAAAGUAGGGGAUCUUCGGACCUUGCGCGAUUGAAUGAGCCGAUGUCGGAUUAGCUAGUUGGCGGGGUAAAGGCCCACCAAGGCGACGAUCCGUAGCUGGUCUGAGAGGAUGAUCAGCCACACUGGAACUGAGACACGGUCCAGACUCCUACGGGAGGCAGCAGUGGGGAAUAUUGGACAAUGGGCGCAAGCCUGAUCCAGCCAUACCGCGUGGGUGAAGAAGGCCUUCGGGUUGUAAAGCCCUUUUGUUGGGAAAGAAAAGCAGCGGGUUAAUACCCCGCUGUUCUGACGGUACCCAAAGAAUAAGCACCGGCUAACUUCGUG